GCGGGCGUGGUGUAACGGUAGCACAGCAGCCUUCCAAGCUUCUGGCGGGGGUUCGAGUCCCCUCGCCCGCU
RNAcentral lists this transfer RNA (71 nucleotides) under Leptospiraceae bacterium. RNAcentral describes it as "tRNA-Gly". It matches the Rfam family "tRNA". Rfam says of the family: Transfer RNA (tRNA) molecules are approximately 80 nucleotides in length. Their secondary structure includes four short double-helical elements and three loops (D, anti-codon, and T loops). Lineage: Bacteria; Pseudomonadati; Spirochaetota; Leptospiria; Leptospirales; Leptospiraceae. The record is from RNAcentral.